RNAcentral lists this long non-coding RNA (12932 nucleotides) under Zea mays. RNAcentral's name for it is "long non-coding RNA (ZMAY_LNC000118)". The record is from RNAcentral. Lineage: Eukaryota; Viridiplantae; Streptophyta; Magnoliopsida; Poales; Poaceae.
GUAACUUAACAAGGCUAUCACGAGUUCAACAACUUGAACUCAUCAUCCCAAAGAUCUCCCACCAUACAUGCAUAUUACAGUAAUCACAUUCGAUACACACACUUCGGAGAUAAGAGCGGAAGACUUUACAAACAUUCUUUACCUUUUCAAAACUCAAGUUUUACAUGUUUCGAAAGAGUAAUAUUUAUUACAAGUCCUGAUAUACUCAGAGUGCAUAACUUAUUACAAAAGCAGGAAGGUAGAAACCCUCCAAAGCUUAUACAUAAACCUAGCUAGUCCUUCUCCAGAACUGGAAACGCCCUCCAGCCACAGGAACUCCUAGAAUACUUCUCAUCACCUACAACAACAUGGGUUCGAAAACCCUGAGUACGGAGUGUACUUUCGCAAGUCUUACCCGACUAAGGAAAAAGACUCUCAAGGAUAUGCUGGAUUUAGGAAUCAAGGAGAGGCUUUUAGCAAGAAUCAACUUAGAUACUUUUGCAGAAAAAGCUUACUAAAGUGAGUCCUUACUUUCAAUAUUUUAAUGCCAGAUUAAAUAUUAAUAGACUCUGUUUGCAUCUAGUCUAAUUUCACCAUCUCAUCAAUACAACAUCAUUUUUAUUCAUAAUGUUCACAUCCUGACUUAGGUUGCAGGGCAGCGAUCAAGUCUCCACUCUCCGGGGAUAUAACGGCGAUCCGAAUCGAUUUACUCAGCUGAGGAUCUCUAACCACACGACAUAUGUAGCACUUAACCCUUGCAUAUGUCAACCGUUCCCACAGAUCCUCCACAACGUGAACCGGUCCGCGCUACCCGGGAGCACAGUACUCCUCCGUCCAGCCUCCAGCCAGGAGGGUACACGCUACUCCCACCAUCUCCCACGCCCAGUGCGCGGUUGUCUUUUCACGUAUGGAAUAGCCGGGUUCAAGCUUACCCUGUCCCAUAUCCAGGGCAUGUAGCCAGUUAAGAUAGUCCUUGAUCAUACAGGCCUACAUACGCAUCCAAUCCUUAAUUAACCUGGGUGGAGCAUCACCUGUUCCUAGCCCAAGUCUCGAUUUAAGUAUUUCCAUCCUUAGGAUUGUUUUGUGUUCCUUGGGAUGAGAAGAGCAUUACAGGGAACUUUGCAGUAAGAUCCCACCAUGCUCCCAAUGAAAAUAUUCUUGCAGGUAGAAGCCAUCCUUCCUCAGGACAACCCCUGAGCUAGGCAUUAUUGCAAAAGACAACUUCUAUCCACAAGAUCUAAGCAGGGCUAAGCAUUUUUGUAAACAAUAUUUGAUACUUCCAAAGAAGUAUCUAUAACAGGAAUGGAUAUCAAGGUAGUCAAUGCAUCAAAUAGUUUUCAAGCAACUCCUAUAACUUAAUGCACAUUUCACUAGACUUAAAGUGUAUAAAAGUCUUUUAAAAAUACAAGGAAAGGGGUAAAUGCACCGGGGCUUGCCUUUGUUGCAGUGAAGAGGUUCUAGAUCCCUCUACCCAACCAUCGAUUAGAUAGCUCCAUCCUCUUAAUGAGAAGACACUGGAGUAGACUCCUCUUUAGCAACCACUUCAUCUUGAAUCUUCACUCUUUGUUUUGGGAGCUCUACAUGAACAUGAAUGCUUAUGCUUAUGCUGUUUGCAAAUAAAAUACUAUAAAACAUCACAAGACUAUACUUUUUCUCAAUUCCACAUGAGGGCUCGACAUACUCCCCUACUAGGAGUUGUUCCUCUAUAAUCACUCUUUAUCUUUGUUUCAAUGGCUACUAGCUGACCCCAAACACAUCUCAAGUUGAACACCAAUUUGAGGUGAAAACACAAAAACUCAAAUUCAGGUAUCUGAAAAAGAACUGAACCGAAUUCAGUUUUAGAUACUGAAAGUUUACACAGUCGACACCACAACCAAUAUUCAGUCUCCAUUUCCCCUCAUUUUCAUUCACAUACACAAGUGAGAGCAGCAGGGGUGAUCUUCGUUAGUUUUCAAACGAAAGACUGAACCCACUUACCUUAGGCCUGCUGCCCCAUCUACACACCUCCCUGUUAAAGUCCCUGGUAUCUUAUAAUUUCAUAUGGUACAGACCAAAACUUCUUAGCCAAAGUUAUACUCCAACUUUAGCUUUACCAACUUGGUAUAACAACCCAUGAUUGAAAACAUUCAGAGCAAAUUCUAUUGUACCCCAAAGUUACCCCCACACUGAACUGCUAUUUCAGCUAACUGAAUAAAAUUCAGUCACAAUCACUCUGACAGUCCAGUUUUGGACAGCUGUUAUUUCCUACUUUAUGUGGAUUCAAGCCUAACUUACUUAAAGGGAUUUGUUCCUUAUAACAUGGUCUUGAACUCCUCUUCAUAAAUCAUGGUUCAAAACUGCAUAGAAUAGGCAGCACACAGCCUCAAAACUGCACUAAAAAUCCUGAUUUCAGAUACUAUUCACAAAUCUAAAAAAAAAUCCAGAAGUCUGACAGAGAAGAUUUGGACAUGUUUUACUCCCAAUUUUAUGCAGCACCUAGCCCAUCUCUCUUUAGUAAUCUUGUUCAUCUUACUAUGGUCUUCAAACUUGCUACAGAACUUUGGCCCAAAACCAAAUAGACUAGGCGCAACAGAGCUCCAAAGUUAGGCUCAACACACUAAAACCUAGUUUCAGCCUUAUGCACUAAGUCUGGGAUCCAGAAACCUGACAGCCUGUGUUUGAGCAAAUUUCACACCUAGUUCCAGACAACCAAUAGUGGUAGAGUUCAAGCAGUAAAUGGUGUGAGCUCCACUGACCUGAGAUGAUUACGGAACAAGCUUCAUACGGGCCAGCAACUCCUUAGGACGUCCAAGCCAUGGCGAGGUGGGAGAACUGCUGGCGCGGCCACUAGCACAGGGGAAUGGCGUGCGAUGAACUGGAGAGGGCUACAGAGACCUGCAGACUUUAGGAUCACCACCCAAAGCAGUGAACCAUGGCUAGACUCGAGGCAAGGAGGAGAGCUUCACUGAACCUGCACCUAAGGCACUGCAGAUGUAGGAAAGUGUUCACUGAACCACUACACAACUCAGUGGGGAAGUCUUCUGGGGAUGCCAGCACUGCAUGGCUAACACACAUGGCUCCCAUGCACAAACCUUGCUGGCACAGCACACAACUCACAAAUAUCACUAAAACACUGAAUCUGGUCUAUUUGAUAUGGAUAAGGAGCAAGCAGUCAAAACUGCACCUACAAACAGACACAUUCCAGCUCACCUUGAGACUUAUUAAUGGGGAGCGAGACUUCUAGUCCUCAAUGAUGCACUUCAUCCAUAUCCCAUACUCAGCUCACCAGUAUCCCAUAUCGCAGACAACAAACAAAACCAACAAAUACUCUACUGCCCACUGCUCACUGCUAAAAUAUCCCACCUAUUCACUGGAUAUGGACAGAGGUAAAGGCAGAUAAAAAAAAACCCCACGGUAGACAGGCUCAAACACAUCCAAAGGUUUGAUAUUUUCUGCAGGGGGAAAAGAUAUUCUUUAGAUAUUUUGGGAAUCUCUGAAUUGCUUUAGCUGGUCUGAUCCUCCCUGUUCAGCCCCACUUUUCUCCCCAUUCCUGUUAAGGAUAGAUCAGUCCCCUAUAAUCAAACUUGUUCACUAUCUGAGGCACUUCAAGUUUGUUUCAAGAAUCUAGGAUCCAAACUGCAUGUACUACAAGUUAUAGUGUCCAAGAAUCAGCCACCUUCCACUAAAUCUGUUUUCAGUUUUCUGAAACAGACAUCUCUCACAGACAUUUAGGCACGUUUUACUCUAAAUUUUACUUAGCAUCAAACCCACCUUCCUGUCGAAAACUUGUUCUCCUAACACCCAUGUAAACUUUUGUCACAGGGUCUUUGGCUUAUACCCACACAGAUCAAGAGUUCUGGCAUCCCAAAGUUGAGCCAAAACACUAAAAUACCCAGUUUCAAAAGUCUGAAACAGCACAGUUUAAGUCUGAUAGAGGGUUUUGCCUUCCCUUUUUCUCCAAACUCUACACAGUAACAAGUCAAUCCUUUGCAUAAAAGUUGUUUCCCUUCAUAUGGACCUUGACUUUACUACAGAACUCUUAACCAAAAUCUCCAUAUAUUAAUUAUCAUAGAGCUCCAAAACUGGGUAAAAACUCACUGAACUUCUCAGUAACAGUCAACUAAAUCAGUCCCAACUCAAUUCUGACAGGGGAAGUUUGAGGGUAUUUUACUCCCAACUUUAUAUAGCACCAAGUCUAUCUCACUUUAGGAAACUUACUUACCAUAUUUUGGUCUCCAACUUUACCAUAUAGUUCUUAGUCCAAAAUCACAUGAAUCAGCCGCAAAUGGGCUCCAAACUGAGCAACUUUCACUGAAAUUCAGUUUUCAAUAACUGAAUAUAAUUCAGUUUCAGCCAUAAACAGUCCAACUUUGAGCUAGUUUUACUCUACUUUUCGUGCAGGAUCAUGCUAUACCCACUUACUGAAAAUUAUUCACCAUCAUAUGGUCAUUAUUUCAUCUACAAACACCAUAGCCUAAAACCUUAUAAGCUAGCCACAAACCAGCUUCCAAACUGCUAUCAAAACACUGAAAUUCAGUUUCAGUUACUGCUUCCAAUCUGAAAAUUCAGAAUACAGCAGCACCACUUAGAACCACUCUUUUUCCUGGGUUCCAAAUGUUUUUAGGGGCAAGUUGCUUAAUAAAGUUUAUACUCCUAUAGUUCCUCUACAACUUUGACAUAGUGAUCCAUAUCUAAACCCUCACAGACUCCAAACUACAGAGGUCCAAAGUUUGCCCAAAUUACUGAAAUUCAGACUCUGAAUUCUACCAAGUCUGAAAUCCAGAAACUCUGUUAGCUCUACUUUGGACCAGUUUUUCUCUAAGUUUCAAAUAUCUUUAGAGCUAGGUGACUCCACCAAACUUAUACUCCUCAUGUAGCUCUAUAACUUUGUUAUAAGGACCAUCUUCAAAAUGCUUAUAGAUCAGAAUUUAUAAGGGUUCAAAGUUGGCUAGUUUAUAUUAAUUUCAGAAGUUCCAAUUUGAACCCAAAACUGAAUUUCUGCAAAUUACUCCAAAUUCUUCCACACAACUUGGGAAUAUCCAAAUAUAAAAGUUGUUCACCUUUUCCAAACUCUACAACUUUGGCACUUUGACUUUUGCCCAAUUGUCUCUAGAUUUUGAAUUCCACUUUUAGGGCAAAUUUAGGGUUUCAAAUAUGGUUCCUUCUCAUCUAGUGAUUUACCAACUCAAUUCAUCCUCCUAAAAGAUGAGUGACUCCUUAAUCUCAAAUCAAACUCUAGUAUAUGAAGCUCAUGUCCAAAUUGUCCCUGGUUUAGGAGUUGUUUUGUUCAUCCACAAUUCCAAGCAAGGUUUUUCAACCUAAGUCCUAUACUCAACACACCACAUCACACUUUUGAAUCGAAAAUUUUAACCUAAUAAAUGCAUUCUAAGUGUAACAAGCAAGUUAAUGCAAAUGCUUAUGAUGACAUGUCAGAGUUUUAGUUCACGUAAUACCAGGGGUGUUACAGCCUUCCCCCCUAAAAGAAAUCUCGUCCCGAGAUUUAAAAAUCUAGACUUAGUAACGGAAAAGGAAACACGUCACUGACUUAUUUCCUAAUUUCUCUUACAAGGCAGGGGAGGUGUUCUGUUUCGCUUAACCAUGAGUUAACCACGAUGUCGCUCGACAUUUGCACUCGUCUCCGAUGCUGCGAACUUCCAAUGAUGACUCGGCGAUAAAUCUCUUUUUGUGUGUUUUACUCAAGAUGUUGCAUCUAAUUUGCUUUGGAUAAUGUUUAUCCAAUUUUCCAUUUCUUGUUCAACAGACUCACAUGGGAAAUCAUGAUGGUACCAUCUCAUCACGAAACACAACCAGAAACUAUGGUACCAGCGUGUGCCAAGUCAUUUAUCCAUACACGUGCAUUCACAGGGAAUAUCCAAAGGAAUAGCCAUUUUAACUCUUGGAAUUCGACAAACGGCUAUAGAUAUUAACAGUUGCCUCUGAAACAGGCAGUUCUUUUUUUACAUCAUAGCCAUAGGCAAACUCACAAGUUACCUGAUCCAGGUGAAACAGGAAAAACUCUUUACAACAAAGUUUAACCUGUUUUUACUAGCUAACAUUGCCAUAUGGGUCUACCUUACAUCUAGCUUUCAAAACUAAUUUACAUAGGUAUAUUGCCUAACGAGGAUUAAGUUGCCUGCUAUAUCUUCUCCGGUUAUCACAUCUGCCAGAUGUCUGUUUCCAUGCUCCAUAGGUACCUUUUAGUCUGUUGGUGUUGGGGCAGAAUAAAAGGCAACAUUGAGCAUAUGCACCGUUUGUUGCAGAUGGUUGAUCAGUCGCUGCACUGUUUGAAAUUCCAUCGGAUAGGUACGAUGCAACUCCUCGAGCACCUGAUCUUGCUGACCAAGGAAGCCCAUGGUUUCCUUAAGUUCUUCCCUAACAGUAACAACAUACGAGUGAGUUUCUUCUUGUUGCUGACUCAAAACUUUUGAUUUUGAAUGAGCAUUAGUCAGCUGAUGCUCAAGUUCCUUGAUGCGAUCCUGAUCCGCUUUGUGUUGUGCCUGCAGUUCUGCUACCUUAUGCUCUAGUCCAACAAUUCGCUCAACUUGAAUCUUUGUUUCUUUAAGCUGUUCUUGUGCCUGAGUACAAGCCCUAUUCUUGGCCAUUUCCAUCAUCUUAAAUGCUGCAUAACUCCCAGUGUAUAACUGCUGCCACAUUUGACGACUGUGCCCUCGAGUAAGCUACAACUCUAGCACAGCCAUCAAAACCCGAGCAGAUGCCGAUUCAACAGAAUCCUGCCCAAUGGGAAUGCUUUCCAUUAAUCGGGCCUAGUGAUGAUACACAACUGGGUCACUUAAGGCAACUGCAGGGAACAACCUCAUAGACGUCGCUUGUAUUUCUUCCCAUUUCUGGUAACAAAUGGUUGUCAACACCUCUAAGACAGCUACCUCAGCACCUUCCCAAGGAGUCAUUCCUUCGGCAUGGAACAUCCAUUGUGGCCAAGAUGGCUUUCUAGCACGUUCUGGAAUACGCACUACGACCUCAUACCAUGGUUGUCCUCUAAGAAUAGUGCGCGACCACUGGUACUUGGGUGCUUCGGUAUAUCCAACUUCUUGAAGUAGUCGCCAUAGGACCAUAGGAACACCGAAAUCUCGUAGAAACUCUCCAACUCCUGUAGGCGCUUCUUGUUGAUUCAUCUAUAGAGAAAAGCAAUAGAUACACUCUAUUCACUAAAGAUGUAUGAACAGGGUAUAUGAAACACAUACUAAAAUAGCUACACAGGGGGUUUAACUUAAAGUUGUAUGACAUGAUGCAUGCUCGUCCUAUUCGUCCUUGCAACUCUUGCCAACAUAUAGUGGCUAUCACGUUUUAUGGCGGUGGCAUACCUACUCACUCCGUCAUUUAUCACUAGUCGCACUUUCCUAGGGUUUAGUUAGUGUACCUGCAGAAAAUUGCAUUAUAGUUGUGGGUUAGUGGUUAGCAUCCUAAACUAAGCCACCUUAUAGUCCUUAACUUAACCAUAUACUAUUUGCACUUUGACUAUCAGAAUUUGAUCAUAGAUUCUUAAGUUUUUCCAAAAUAGUUUGGACUCGAAAUCCUUUUGAAGUAUAUCAACAGAUUACUUUAAUAUCCAUGCUAAUGGGGGAUCGCUCCGAUACCAAUCUGUGACAGCCCUCCCAAGUUAUCAGGCCCACGUGCACCAAUCCUUGCCUGGAUGGCCUCAGAUGGUUAUGCACGUGUACCAGGUAACUUAACAAGGCUAUCACGAGUUCAACAACUUGAACUCAUCAUCCCAAAGAUCUCCCACCAUACAUGCAUAUUACAGUAAUCACAUUCGAUACACACACUUCGGAGAUAAGAGCGGAAGACUUUACAAACAUUCUUUACCUUUUCAAAACUCAAGUUUUACAUGUUUCGAAAGAGUAAUAUUUAUUACAAGUCCUGAUAUACUCAGAGUGCAUAACUUAUUACAAAAGCAGGAAGGUAGAAACCCUCCAAAGCUUAUACAUAAACCUAGCUAGUCCUUCUCCAGAACUGGAAACGCCCUCCAGCCACAGGAACUCCUAGAAUACUCCUCAUCACCUACAACAACAUGGGUUCGAAAACCCUGAGUACGGAGUGUACUUUCGCAAGUCUUACCCGACUAAGGAAAAAGACUCUCAAGGAUAUGCUGGAUUUAGGAAUCAAGGAGAGGCUUUUAGCAAGAAUCAACUUAGAUACUUUUGCAGAAAAAGCUUACUAAAGUGAGUCCUUACUUUCAAUAUUUUAAUGCCAGAUUAAAUAUUAAUAGACUCUGUUUGCAUCUAGUCUAAUUUCACCAUCUCAUCAAUACAACAUCAUUUUUAUUCAUAAUGUUCACAUCCUGACUUAGGUUGCAGGGCAGCGAUCAAGUCUCCACUCUCCGGGGAUAUAACGGCGAUCCGAAUCGAUUUACUCAGCUGAGGAUCUCUAACCACAUGACAUAUGUAGCACUUAACCCUUGCAUAUGUCAACCGUUCCCACAGAUCCUCCACAACGUGAACCGGUCCGCGCUACCCGGGAGCACAGUACUCCUCCGUCCAGCCUCCAGCCAGGAGGGUACACGCUACUCCCACCAUCUCCCACGCCCAGUGCGCGGUUGUCUUUUCACGUAUGGAAUAGCCGGGUUCAAGCUUACCCUGUCCCAUAUCCAGGGCAUGUAGCCAGUUAAGAUAGUCCUUGAUCAUACAGGCCUACAUACGCAUCCAAUCCUUAAUUAACCUGGGUGGAGCAUCACCUGUUCCUAGCCCAAGUCUCGAUUUAAGUAUUUCCAUCCUUAGGAUUGUUUUGUGUUCCUUGGGAUGAGAAGAGCAUUACAGGGAACUUUGCAGUAAGAUCCCACCAUGCUCCCAAUGAAAAUAUUCUUGCAGGUAGAAGCCAUCCUUCCUCAGGACAACCCCUGAGCUAGGCAUUAUUGCAAAAGACAACUUCUAUCCACAAGAUCUAAGCAGGGCUAAGCAUUUUUGUAAACAAUAUUUGAUACUUCCAAAGAAGUAUCUAUAACAGGAAUGGAUAUCAAGGUAGUCAAUGCAUCAAAUAGUUUUCAAGCAACUCCUAUAACUUAAUGCACAUUUCACUAGACUUAAAGUGUAUAAAAGUCUUUUAAAAAUACAAGGAAAGGGGUAAAUGCACCGGGGCUUGCCUUUGUUGCAGUGAAGAGGUUCUAGAUCCCUCUACCCAACCAUCGAUUAGAUAGCUCCAUCCUCUUAAUGAGAAGACACUGGAGUAGACUCCUCUUUAGCAACCACUUCAUCUUGAAUCUUCACUCUUUGUUUUGGGAGCUCUACAUGAACAUGAAUGCUUAUGCUUAUGCUGUUUGCAAAUAAAAUACUAUAAAACAUCACAAGACUAUACUUUUUCUCAAUUCCACAUGAGGGCUCGACAUACUCCCCUACUAGGAGUUGUUCCUCUAUAAUCACUCUUUAUCUUUGUUUCAAUGGCUACUAGCUGACCCCAAACACAUCUCAAGUUGAACACCAAUUUGAGGUGAAAACACAAAAACUCAAAUUCAGGUAUCUGAAAAAGAACUGAACCGAAUUCAGUUUUAGAUACUGAAAGUUUACACAGUCGACACCACAACCAAUAUUCAGUCUCCAUUUCCCCUCAUUUUCAUUCACAUACACAAGUGAGAGCAGCAGGGGUGAUCUUCGUUAGUUUUCAAACGAAAGACUGAACCCACUUACCUUAGGCCUGCUGCCCCAUCUACACACCUCCCUGUUAAAGUCCCUGGUAUCUUAUAAUUUCAUAUGGUACAGACCAAAACUUCUUAGCCAAAGUUAUACUCCAACUUUAGCUUUACCAACUUGGUAUAACAACCCAUGAUUGAAAACAUUCAGAGCAAAUUCUAUUGUACCCCAAAGUUACCCCCACACUGAACUGCUAUUUCAGCUAACUGAAUAAAAUUCAGUCACAAUCACUCUGACAGUCCAGUUUUGGACAGCUGUUAUUUCCUACUUUAUGUGGAUUCAAGCCUAACUUACUUAAAGGGAUUUGUUCCUUAUAACAUGGUCUUGAACUCCUCUUCAUAAAUCAUGGUUCAAAACUGCAUAGAAUAGGCAGCACACAGCCCCAAAACUGCACUAAAAAUCCUGAUUUCAGAUACUAUUCACAAAUCUAAAAAAAAAUCCAGAAGUCUGACAGAGAAGAUUUGGACAUGUUUUACUCCCAAUUUUAUGCAGCACCUAGCCCAUCUCUCUUUAGUAAUCUUGUUCAUCUUACUAUGGUCUUCAAACUUGCUACAGAACUUUGGCCCAAAACCAAAUAGACUAGGCGCAACAGAGCUCCAAAGUUAGGCUCAACACACUAAAACCUAGUUUCAGCCUUAUGCACUAAGUCUGGGAUCCAGAAACCUGACAGCCUGUGUUUGAGCAAAUUUCACACCUAGUUCCAGACAACCAAUAGUGGUAGAGUUCAAGCAGUAAAUGGUGUGAGCUCCACUGACCUGAGAUGAUUACGGAACAAGCUUCAUACGGGCCAGCAACUCCUUAGGACGUCCAAGCCAUGGCGAGGUGGGAGAACUGCUGGCGCGGCCACUAGCACAGGGGAAUGGCGUGCGAUGAACUGGAGAGGGCUACAGAGACCUGCAGACUUUAGGAUCACCACCCAAAGCAGUGAACCAUGGCUAGACUCGAGGCAAGGAGGAGAGCUUCACUGAACCUGCACCUAAGGCACUGCAGAUGUAGGAAAGUGUUCACUGAACCACUACACAACUCAGUGGGGAAGUCUUCUGGGGAUGCCAGCACUGCAUGGCUAACACACAUGGCUCCCAUGCACAAACCUUGCUGGCACAGCACACAACUCACAAAUAUCACUAAAACACUGAAUCUGGUCUAUUUGAUAUGGAUAAGGAGCAAGCAGUCAAAACUGCACCUACAAACAGACACAUUCCAGCUCACCUUGAGACUUAUUAAUGGGGAGCGAGACUUCUAGUCCUCAAUGAUGCACUUCAUCCAUAUCCCAUACUCAGCUCACCAGUAUCCCAUAUCGCAGACAACAAACAAAACCAACAAAUACUCUACUGCCCACUGCUCACUGCUAAAAUAUCCCACCUAUUCACUGGAUAUGGACAGAGGUAAAGGCAGAUAAAAAAACCCCACGGUAGACAGGCUCAAACACAUCCAAAGGUUUGAUAUUUUCUGCAGGGGGAAAAGAUAUUCUUUAGAUAUUUUGGGAAUCUCUGAAUUGCUUUAGCUGGUCUGAUCCUCCCUGUUCAGCCCCACUUUUCUCCCCAUUCCUGUUAAGGAUAGAUCAGUCCCCUAUAAUCAAACUUGUUCACUAUCUGAGGCACUUCAAGUUUGUUUCAAGAAUCUAGGAUCCAAACUGCAUGUACUACAAGUUAUAGUGUCCAAGAAUCAGCCACCUUCCACUAAAUCUGUUUUCAGUUUUCUGAAACAGACAUCUCUCACAGACAUUUAGGCACGUUUUACUCUAAAUUUUACUUAGCAUCAAACCCACCUUCCUGUCGAAAACUUGUUCUCCUAACACCCAUGUAAACUUUUGUCACAGGGUCUUUGGCUUAUACCCACACAGAUCAAGAGUUCUGGCAUCCCAAAGUUGAGCCAAAACACUAAAAUACCCAGUUUCAAAAGUCUGAAACAGCACAGUUUAAGUCUGAUAGAGGGUUUUGCCUUCCCUUUUUCUCCAAACUCUACACAGUAACAAGUCAAUCCUUUGCAUAAAAGUUGUUUCCCUUCAUAUGGACCUUGACUUUACUACAGAACUCUUAACCAAAAUCUCCAUAUAUUAAUUAUCAUAGAGCUCCAAAACUGGGUAAAAACUCACUGAACUUCUCAGUAACAGUCAACUAAAUCAGUCCCAACUCAAUUCUGACAGGGGAAGUUUGAGGGUAUUUUACUCCCAACUUUAUAUAGCACCAAGUCUAUCUCACUUUAGGAAACUUACUUACCAUAUUUUGGUCUCCAACUUUACCAUAUAGUUCUUAGUCCAAAAUCACAUGAAUCAGCCGCAAAUGGGCUCCAAACUGAGCAACUUUCACUGAAAUUCAGUUUUCAAUAACUGAAUAUAAUUCAGUUUCAGCCAUAAACAGUCCAACUUUGAGCUAGUUUUACUCUACUUUUCGUGCAGGAUCAUGCUAUACCCACUUACUGAAAAUUAUUCACCAUCAUAUGGUCAUUAUUUCAUCUACAAACACCAUAGCCUAAAACCUUAUAAGCUAGCCACAAACCAGCUUCCAAACUGCUAUCAAAACACUGAAAUUCAGUUUCAGUUACUGCUUCCAAUCUGAAAAUUCAGAAUACAGCAGCACCACUUAGAACCACUCUUUUUCCUGGGUUCCAAAUGUUUUUAGGGGCAAGUUGCUUAAUAAAGUUUAUACUCCUAUAGUUCCUCUACAACUUUGACAUAGUGAUCCAUAUCUAAACCCUCACAGACUCCAAACUACAGAGGUCCAAAGUUUGCCCAAAUUACUGAAAUUCAGACUCUGAAUUCUACCAAGUCUGAAAUCCAGAAACUCUGUUAGCUCUACUUUGGACCAGUUUUUCUCUAAGUUUCAAAUAUCUUUAGAGCUAGGUGACUCCACCAAACUUAUACUCCUCAUGUAGCUCUAUAACUUUGUUAUAAGGACCAUCUUCAAAAUGCUUAUAGAUCAGAAUUUAUAAGGGUUCAAAGUUGGCUAGUUUAUAUUAAUUUCAGAAGUUCCAAUUUGAACCCAAAACUGAAUUUCUGCAAAUUACUCCAAAUUCUUCCACACAACUUGGGAAUAUCCAAAUAUAAAAGUUGUUCACCUUUUCCAAACUCUACAACUUUGGCACUUUGACUUUUGCCCAAUUGUCUCUAGAUUUUGAAUUCCACUUUUAGGGCAAAUUUAGGGUUUCAAAUAUGGUUCCUUCUCAUCUAGUGAUUUACCAACUCAAUUCAUCCUCCUAAAAGAUGAGUGACUCCUUAAUCUCAAAUCAAACUCUAGUAUAUGAAGCUCAUGUCCAAAUUGUCCCUGGUUUAGGAGUUGUUUUGUUCAUCCACAAUUCCAAGCAAGGUUUUUCAACCUAAGUCCUAUACUCAAC